Molecule: ribosomal RNA, 468 nt
Filed under: uncultured bacterium
Lineage: Bacteria
Description: bacterial SSU rRNA
Rfam family: Bacterial small subunit ribosomal RNA
Source: RNAcentral
ACUCCUACGGGAGGCAGCAGUGAGGAAUAUUGGACAAUGGGUGAGAGCCUGAUCCAGCCAUGCCGCGUGCAGGAAGACGGCCCUAUGGGUUGUAAACUGCUUUUAUACGGGAAGAAACCUCCCCUCGUGAGGGGAGCUGACGGUACCGUAAGAAUAAGGACCGGCUAACUCCGUGCCAGCAGCCGCGGUAAUACGGAGGGUCCGAGCGUUAUCCGGAAUCAUUGGGUUUAAAGGGUCCGUAGGCGGGCAGCUCAGUCAGUGGUGAAAGUUUGCGGCUUAACCGUAAAAUUGCCAUUGAUACUGGUUGUCUUGAAUUGGUGUGAAGUGGUUAGAAUGAGUAGUGUAGCGGUGAAAUGCAUAGAUAUUACUCAGAAUACCAAUUGCGAAGGCAGAUCACUAACACUAUAUUGACGCUGAGGGACGAAAGCGUGGGGAGCGAACAGGAUUAGAUACCCUGGUAGCUACGAG